AUUAGGGUUGCGUGAAGAAGGCUUUAGCAAGGGGAUAUUAUGAUCAGAUUGCCUCCGGUGGUGGUCGCAUCAGAUGAUUGGCGGUGGUGGCCGGAAUCCGGCGAAUAAGACAAGGUUGCAGAAUUUAGGUUUUAGGUUUUGGGUUCUUCAAACAAUUAAUUGUUUGAAGAACGUAUAGAUUGAAUUUCAAUGUUUGGGAG
This 200-nucleotide long non-coding RNA is filed under the name Erythranthe guttata (spotted monkey flower). RNAcentral's name for it is "long non-coding RNA (EGUT_LNC002774)". Lineage: Eukaryota; Viridiplantae; Streptophyta; Magnoliopsida; Lamiales; Phrymaceae. The record is from RNAcentral.